This 7851-nucleotide long non-coding RNA is filed under the name Citrus x clementina. RNAcentral's name for it is "Citrus clementina (C. clementina) long non-coding RNA (CCLE_LNC000676)". Lineage: Eukaryota; Viridiplantae; Streptophyta; Magnoliopsida; Sapindales; Rutaceae. The record is from RNAcentral.
CGUCCGCCAGACUCGGAAUGCCGCGAGACUUUGCGAGGGGCCUCCGUGCUCCAAAAAUAGGCCGCGGGAAAGCCGCACCCAAAAAUAACCGCCCGAAGAGCGGGGCGCCAAGUUCGUCCAGCGAAAAAAAGCCACAAAAACGGGUGGGCUAUAGCCUUCGGGGGUGGGGCUACCCAACUUCGUCCGCCGGACUCGGAAUGCCGCGAGACUUUGCGAGGGGUCUCCAUGUGCCAAAAAUAGGCCGUGGGCAAAGCCGUGCCCAAAAAUAACCGCCCGAUGGCCGGGGCGCCAAGUUCGUCCAGCGGAAAAAGGCCACAAAAACAGGUGGGCUAUAGCCUUGGGGGGUGGGGCUGGCCAACCUCGUCCGCCGGACUCGGAAUGGUGCGAGACUUUGCGACGCGCCUGCGUGUGCCAAAAAUAGGCCGCGGGCAAAGCAGUGCCCAAAAAUAACCGCCCGAAGGCCGGGGCGCCAAGUUCGUCCAGCGGAAAAAGGCCAAUAAAACGGGUGGGCUAUAGCCUUGGGGGGUGGGGCUGGCCAACAUCGUCCGCCGGACUCGGAAUGGCACGAGACUUUGCGAGGUGCGUCCGUGUGCCAAAAAUAGGCCGCGGGCACAGCCGCGCUGAAAAAUAACCUCCCGAAAGCCGGGGCGCCAAGUUCGUCCAGCGGAAAAAGGCCACAAAAACGGGUGGGCUAUAGCCUUGGGGGGUGGGGCUGGCCAACAUCGUCCGCCGGACUCGGAAUGGCACGAGACUUUGCGAGGUGCCUCCGUGUGCCAAAAAUAGGCCGCGGGCACAGCCGCGCCGAAAAAUAACCUCCCGAAAGCCGGGGCGCCAAGUUCGUCCAGCGGAAAAAGGCCACAAAAACGGGUGGGCUAUAGCCUUGGGGGGUGGGGCUGGCCAACAUCGUCCGCCGGACUCGGAAUGGCACGAGACUUUGCGAGGGGCCUGCGUGUGCCAAAAAUAGGCCGCGGGCAAAGCCGCGCCCAAAAAUAACUCCCGAAGGCCGGGGCGACAAGUUCUUCCUGCGGAAAAAGGCCACAAAAACGGGUGGGCUAUAGCCUUGGGGGGUGGGGCUGGCCCACUUCGUCCACCGGACUCGGAAUGCCGCGAAACUUUGCGAGGGGCCUCCGUGUGCCAAAAAUAGGCCGCGGGCAAAUCCGUGCCCAAAAAUAACCACCCGAUGGCCGGGGCGCCAAGUUCGUCCAGCGGAAAAAGGGCACAAAAACGGGUGGGCUAUAGCCUUGGGGGGUGGGGCUGGCCAACUUCGUCUGCCGGACUCAGAAUGCUGCGAGACUUUCGAGGGGCCUUCGUGUGCCAAAAAUAGGCCACGGCCAAAGCUGCGCCCAAAAAUAGCCGCCCGAAGACCGGGGCGCCAAGUUCGUCCUGCGGAAAACGGCCACAAAAACGGGUGGGCAAUAGCCUUUGGGGGUGGGGUUGGCCAACUUCGUCCGCCGGACUCGGAAUGCCGCGAGACUUUGCAAGGGGGCUGCGUGUGCCAAAAAUAGGCCGCGGGCAAAGCCGCGCCCAAAAAUAACUCCCGAAGGCCGGGGCGACAGGUUCUUCCUGCGGAAAAAGGCCACAAAAACGGGUGGGCUAUAGCCUUGGGGGGUGGGGCUGGCCCACUUCGUCCACCGGACUCGGAAUGCCGCGACACUUUGCGAGGGGCCUCCGUGUGCCAAAAAUAGGCCGCGGGCAAAGCCGCGCCCAAAAAUAACUGCCCGAAUGCCGGGGCGCGAAGUUCGUCCAGCGGUAAAAGGCCACAAAAACGGGUGGGCUAUAGCCUUGGGGGGUGGGGCUGGCCAACUUCGUCUGCCGGACUCCGAAUGCUGCGAGACUUUCGAGGGGCCUCCGUGUGCCAAAAAUAGGCCGCGGCCAAAGCUGCGCCCAAAAAUAGCCGCCCGAAGACCGGGGCGCCAAGUUCGUCCUGCGGAAAACGGCCACAAAAACGGGUGGGCAAUAGCCUUGGGGGGUGGGGCUGGCCAACUUCGUCCGCCGGACUUGGAAUGCCGCGAGACUUUGCGAGGGGCCUCCGUGCUCCAAAAAUAGGCCGCGGGAAAGCCGCGCCCAAAAAUAACCGCCCGAAGGCCGGGGCGCCAAGUUCGUCCAGCGGAAAAAAGCCACAAAAACGGGUGGGCUAUAGCCUUGGGGGGUGGGGCUGCCCAACUUCGUCCGCCGGACUUGGAAUGCCGUGAGACUUUGCGAGGGGACUCCGUGUGCCAAAAAUAGGCCGCGGGCAAAUCCGUGCCCAAAAAUAACCGCCCGAUGGCCGGGGCGCCAAGUUCGUCCAGCGGAAAAAGGGCACAAAAACGGGUGGGCUAUAGCCUUGGGGGGUGGGGCUGGCCAACUUCUUCCGCCGGACUCGGAAUGCCGCGAGACUUUGCGAGGGGCCUCCAUACGCAAAAAUAGGCCGCGGCCAAAGCUGCGCUCAAAAAUAGCCGCCCGAAGACCGGGGCACCAAGUUCGUCCUGCGGAAAACGGCCACAAAAACGGGUGGGCUAUAGCCUUGGGGGGUGGGGCUGGCCAACUUCGUCCGCCGGAAUCGGAAUGCCGCGACACUAUGCAUGGGGCCUCCGUGUGCCAAAAAUAGGCCGCGGCCAAAGCCACGCCCAAAAAUAACCGCCCGAAGGCCGGGGCGCCAAGUUCGUCCAGCGGUAAAAGGCCACAAAAACGGGUGGGCUAUAGCCUUGGGGGGUGGGGCUGCCCAACUUCGUCCGCCGGACUCAGAAUGCCGCUAGACUUUACGAGGGGCCUCCGUGCGCCAAAAAUAGGCCAUGACCAAAGACGCGUUUAAAAAUAUCUGCCCGAAGGCCGGGGAGCCAAGUUCAUCCGGCGGAAAACGGCCUCAAAAACGGGUGGGCUAUAGCCUUGGGGGGUGGGGCUGGCCAACUUCGUCCGCCGGACUCGGAAUGCCGCGAGACUUUGCGAGGGGCCUCCGUGUGUAAAAAAUAGGCCACGGACAAAGCCGCGCCCAAAAAUAACCUCCCAAAGGCCGGGGCACCAAGUUCGUCCAGCGGAAAAAGGCCAUAAAAAUGGGUGGGCUAUAGCCUGGGUGGUGAGGCUGGCCAACUUCGGCCACCGGGCUCGGAAUGCCGCGAGACUUUGUGAGGGGCCUCGGUGUGCCAAAAAUAGGACACGGCCAAAGCCGCGCCCAAAAAUAACAGCCCGAUGGCCGGGGCGCCAAGUUCGUCCAGCGGAAAAAGGCCACAAAAACGGGUGGGCUAUAGCCUUGGGGGGUGGGGCUGGCCCACUUCGUCCGGCGGACUCGGAAUGCCGCGACACUUUGCGAUGGGCCUCCAUGUGCCAAAAAUAGGCCGCGGGCAAAGCCGCGCCAAAAAAUAACCGCCCGAAGGCUGGGGCGCCAAGUUAGUCUAGCGGAAAAAGGCCACAAAAACGGGUGGGCUACUGCCAUGGGGGGUGUGGCUGGCCAACUUCAUCCGCCGGACUCGGAAUGCCGCGACACUUUGCGAGGGGCCUCCGUGUGCCAAAAAUAGGCCGCGGGCAAAGCCGCGCCCAAAAAUAACCGCCCGAAGGCCAGGGCGCCAAGUUCGUGCAGCGGAAAAAGGCCACAAAAACGGGUGGGCUAUAGCCUUGGGGGGUGGGGCUGGCCCACUUCGUCCGCCGGACUCGGAAUGCCGCGACACUUUGCGAGGGUCUCCGUGUGCCAAAAAUAGGCCGCGGGCAAAGCCGUGCCCAAAAAUAACCGCCCGAAGGCCGGGGCGCCAAGUUCGUCCAGCGGAAAAAGGCCACAAAAACGGGUGGGCUAUAGCCUUGGGGGGUGGGGCUGGCCAACUUCGUCCGCCGGACUCGGAAUGCCGCGACACUUUACGAGGGUCCUCCGUGUGCCAAAAAUAGGCCGCGGGCAAAGCCGCGCCCAAAAAUAACUGCCCGAAGGCCGGGGCGCCCAGUUCGUCCAGCGGUAAAAGGCCACAAAAACGGGUGGGCUAUAGCCUUGGGUGGUGGGGCUGGGCAACUUCGUCUGCCGGACUCAGAAUGCUGCGAGACUUUCGAGGGGCCUCCCUGUGCCAAAAAUAGGCCGUGGCCAAAGCUGCGCCCAAAAAUAGCCGCCCGAAGACCGGGGCGCCAAGUUCGUCCUGCGGAAAACGGCCACAAAAACGGGUGGGCAAUAGCCUUGGGGGGUGGGGCUGGCCAACUUCGUCCGCCGGACUUGGAAUGCCGUGAGACUUUGCGAGGGGCCUCCGUGCUCCAAAAAUAGGCCGCGGGAAAGCCGCGCCCAAAAAUAACCGCCCGAAGGCCGGGGCGCCAAGUUCGUCCAGCGGAAAAAAGCCACAAAAACGGGUGGGCUAUAGCCUUGGGGGGUGGGGCUGCCCAACUUCGUCCGCCGGACUUGGAAUGCCGUGAGACUUUGCGAGGGGACUCCGUGUGCCAAAAAUAGGCCGCGGGCAAAGCCGUGCCCAAAAAUAACCGCCCGAUGGCCGGGGCGCCAAGUUCGUCCAGCGGAAAAAGGGCACAAAAACGGGUGGGCUAUAGCCUUGGGGAGUGGGGCUGGCCAACUUCUUCCGCCGGACUCGGAAUGCCGCGAGACUUUGCGAGGGGCCUCCAUGCGCAAAAAUAGGCCGCGGCCAAAGCUGCGCUCAAAAAUAGCCGCCCGAAGACCGGGGCGCCAAGUUCGUCCUGCGGAAAACGGCCACAAAAACGGGUGGGCUAUAGCCUUGGGGGGUGGGGCUGGCCAACUUCGUCCGCCGGAAUCGGAAUGCCGCGAGACUUUAUGAGGGGCCUCUAUGUGCGAAAAAUAGGCCGCGGGCAAAGCCGCGCCCAAAAAUAACCGCCCGAAGGCCUGGGCGCCAAGUUCGUCCAGCGGAAAAAGGCCACAACAACGGGUGGGCUAUAGCCUUGGGGGGUGGGGCUGGCCCACUUCGUCCGCCGGACUCGGAAUGCCGCGAGACUUUAUGAGGGGCCUCUGUGUGCGAAAAAUAGGCCGCGGGCAAAGCCGCGCCCAAAAAUAACCGCCCGAAGGCCUGGGCGCCAAGUUCGUCCAGCGGAAAAAGGCCACAAAAACGGGUGGGCUAUAGCCUUGGGGGGUGGGGCUGGCCAACUUCGUCCGCCGGACUCGGAAUGCCGCGAGAAUUUGCGAGGGGCCUCCGUGUGCCAAAAAUAGGCCGCGGGUGAAGCCGUGCCCAAAAAUAACCGCCAGAAGGCCGGGGCGCCAAGUCCGUCAAGCGGAAAAAGGCCAGAAAAACGGGUGGGCUAUAGCCUUGGGGGGUGGGGCUGGCCCACUUCGUCCGCCGGACUCGGAAUGCCGCGAGACUUUGCGAGGGGCCUCCGUGUGCCAAAAAUAGGCCGCGGGCAAAGCAGCACCCAAAAAUAACCGCCCGAAGGCCGGGGCGCCAAGUUCGUCCAGCGGAAAAAGGCCAAAAAAACAGGUGGGCUAUAGCCUUGGGGGGUGGGACUGGCCCACUUCGUCCGCCGGACUCGGAAUGCCGCGAGACUUUGUGAGGGGCCUCCGUGUGCCAAAAAUAGGCCGCGGGCAAAGCCGCGCCCAAAAAUAACCGCCCGAAGGCCUGGGCGCCAAGUUCGUCCAGCGGAAAAAGGCCACAAAAACGGGNNNNNNNNNNNNNNNNNNNNNNNNNNNNNNNNNNNNNNNNNNNNNNNNNNNNNNNNNNNNNNNNNNNNNNNNNNNNNNNNNNNNNNNNNNNNNNNNNNNNGGGGGGUGGGGCUGGCCAACUUCGUCCGCGACUCGGAAUGCCGCGAGAAUUUGCGAGGGGCUCCGUGUGCCAAAAAUAGGCCGCGGGCGAAGCCGUGCCCAAAAAUAACCGCCAGAAGGCCGGGGCGCCAAGUUCGUCAAGCAGAAAAAGGCCACAAAAACGGGUGGGCUACAGCCUUGGGGGGUGGGGCUGGCCCACUUCGUCCGCCGGACUCGGAAUGCCGCGAAACUUUGCGAGGGGCCUCCGUGUGCCAAAAAUAGGCCGCGGGCAAAGCAGCACCCAAAAAUAACCGCACGAAGGCCGGGGCGCCAAGUUCGUCCAGCGGAAAAAGGCCACAAAAACAGGUGGGCUAUAGCCUUGGGGGGUGGGGCUGGCCCACUUCGUCCGCCGGACUCGCAAUGCCGCGAGACUUUGUGAGGGGGCUCCGUGUGGCAAAAAUAGUCCGCGGGCAAAGCCGCGCCAAAAAAUAACCGCCCGAAGGCCUGGGCGCCAAGUUCGUCCAGCGGAAAAAGGCCACAAAAACGGGUGGGCUAUAGCCUUGGGGGGUGGGGCUGGCCAACUUCGUCCGCCGGACUCGGAAUGCCUCGAGACUUUGCGAGGGGCCUCCGUGUGCCAAAAAUAGGCCGCGGGUGAAGCCGCGCCCAAAAAUAACCGCCAGAAGGCCGGGGCGCCAAGUUCGUCAAGCGGAAAAAGGCUACAAAAACGGGUGGGCUAUAGCCUUGGGGGGUGGGGCUGGCCCACUUCGUCCGCCGGACUCGGAAUGCCGCGAGACUUUGCGAGGGGCCUCCGUGUGCCAAAAAUAGGCCGCGGGCAAAGCAGCACCCAAAAAUAACCGCCCGAAGGCCGGGGCGCCAAGUUCGUCCAGCGGAAAAAGGCCACAAAAACGGGUGGGCUAUAGCCUUGGGGGGUGGGGCUGGCCCACUUCGUCCGCCGGACUCGGAAUGCCGCGAGACUUUGUGAGGGGCCUCCGUGUGUCAAAAAUAGGCCGCGGGCAAAGCCGCGCCCAAAAAUAACCGCCCGAAGGCCUGGGCGCCAAGUUCGUCCAGCGGAAAAAGGCCACAAAAACGGGUGGGCUAUAGCCUUGAGGGGUGGGGCUGGCCAACUUCGUCCGCCGGACUCGGAAUGCCUCGAGACUUUGCGAGGGGCCUCCGUGUGCCAAAAAUAGGCCGCGGGUGAAGCCGCGCCCAAAAAUAACCGCCAGAAGGCCGGGGCGCCAAGUUCGUCAAGCGGAAAAAGGCUACAAAAACGGGUGGGCUAUAGCCUUGGGGGGGGGGGCUGGCACACUUCGUCCGCCGGACUCGGAAUGCCGCGAGACUUUGCGAGGGUCUCCGUGUGCCAAAAAUAGCCCGCGGCAAAGCCGCGCCCAAAAAUAACCGCCCGAAGGCCGGGGCGCCAAGUUCGUCCAGUGGAAAAUGGCCACAAAAACGGGUGGGCUAUAUCCUUGGGGUGUGGGGCUGGCCAACUUCGUCCGCCGGACUCGGAAUGCCGCGAGACUUUACGAGGGGCCUCCGUGUGCCAAAAAUAGGCCGCGGGUAAAGCCGGGCCCAAAAAAAACCGCCCGAAGGCCGGGGCGCCAUGUUCCUCCAGCGGAAAAAGGCCACAAAAACAGGUGGGCUAUAGCCUUGGGGGGUGGGGCUGGCCAACUUCGUCCGCCGGACUCGGAAUGCCGCGAGACUUUGCGAGGGGCCUCCAUGUGCCAAAAAUAGGCCGUUGGCAAAGCCGCGCCCAAAAUUAACCGCCCGAAGGCCGGGGCGCCAAGUUCGUCCAGCGGAAAAAGGCCACAAAAACGGGUGGGCUAUACCCUUGGGGGGUGGGGGUGGCCAACUUUGUCCGCCGGACUCGGAAUGGCGCAAGACAUUGUGAGGGCCCUCCGUGUGCCAAAAAUAGGCCGUGGGAAAAGCCGCGCCCAAAAAUAACCGCCCGAAGGCCGGGGCGCCAAUUUCGUCCAGCGGAAAAAGGCCACAAAAACGGGUGGGCUAUAGCCUUGGGGGGUGGGGCUGGCCAACUUCGUCCGCCGGACUCGGAAUGCCGUGAGACUUUGCGAGGGGCCUCCGUGUGCCAAAAAUAGGCCGCGGGCAAAGACGAGCCAAAAAAUAACCGCCCGAAGGCGGGGGCGCCAUGUUCGUCCAGCGGAAAAAGGCCACAAAAACGGGUGGGCUAUAGCCUUGGGUGGUGGGGCUGGCCAACU